RNAcentral lists this ribosomal RNA (1088 nucleotides) under Oxypilus hamatus. Its description in RNAcentral is "SSU rRNA". It matches the Rfam family "Eukaryotic small subunit ribosomal RNA", at positions 260 to 1289 of the family's 1831-position model. Lineage: Eukaryota; Metazoa; Arthropoda; Insecta; Mantodea; Hymenopodidae. The record is from RNAcentral.
GCAGAUCGCACGGCCCCCGAGCCGGCGACGCAUCUUUCAAAUGUCUGCCUUAUCAACUGUCGAUGGUAGGUUCUGCGCCUACCAUGGUUGUAACGGGUAACGGGGAAUCAGGGUUCGAUUCCGGAGAGGGAGCCUGAGAAACGGCUACCACAUCCAAGGAAGGCAGCAGGCGCGCAAAUUACCCACUCCCGGCACGGGGAGGUAGUGACGAAAAAUAACGAUACGGGACUCAUCCGAGGCCCCGUAAUCGGAAUGAGUACACUUUAAAUCCUUUAACGAGUAUCCAUUGGAGGGCAAGUCUGGUGCCAGCAGCCGCGGUAAUUCCAGCUCCAAUAGCGUAUAUUAAAGUUGUUGCGGUUAAAAAGCUCGUAGUCGGACUUGUGUCCCACGCUGCCGGUUCACCGCCCGUCGGUGUUUAACUGGCAUGCACGUGCGGACGUCCUGCCGGUGGCCCGAGCCGGCGCGGGUCUCGUACUCGUCGUCCGGGGAAGGCCUAUCAUACCCGUCGCGGUGCUCUUAACCGAGUGUCUCGAUGGGCCGGCACGUUUACUUUGAACAAAUUAGAGUGCUUAAAGCAGGCAGCAUCCGCCUGAAUACCGAGUGCAUGGAAUAAUGGAAUAGGACCUCGGUUCUAUUUUGUUGGUUUUCGGAAUCCCCGAGGUAAUGAUCAAUAGGGACAGACGGGGGCAUUCGUAUUGCGACGUUAGAGGUGAAAUUCUUGGAUCGUCGCAAGACGGACCGAAGCGAAAGCAUUUGCCAAGAAUGUUUUCUCUGAUCAAGAACGAAAGUUAGAGGUUCGAAGGCGAUCAGAUACCGCCCUAGUUCUAACCAUAAACGAUGCCAGCCAGCAAUCCGCCGAAGUUCCUCCGAUGACUCGGCGGGCGGCUUCCGGGAAACCAAAGCUUUUGGGUUCCGGGGGAAGUAUGGUUGCAAAGCUGAAACUUAAAGGAAUUGACGGAAGGGCACCACCAGGAGUGGAGCCUGCGGCUUAAUUUGACUCAACACGGGAAACCUCACCAGGCCCGGACACCGGGAGGAUUGACAGAUUGAGAGCUCUUUCUUGAUUCGGUGGGUGGUGGUGCAUGGCC